Molecule: ribosomal RNA, 415 nt
Filed under: uncultured prokaryote
Description: bacterial SSU rRNA
Rfam family: Bacterial small subunit ribosomal RNA
Source: RNAcentral
GUGUCAGCAGCCGCGGUAAGACAGAGGUGGCUAGCGUUGUUCGGUGUUACUGGGCUUAAAGCGUGUGUAGGCGGAGAAGUAAGCGUCUUGUGAAAUCCCUCGGCUCAACCGAGGAAUUGCUUGAUGUACUGCUUCUCUUGAGGCAAGUAGAGGUGCAUGGAACUCUUGGUGGAGCGGUGGAAUGCGUAGAUAUCAAGAGGAACGCCGAUGGUGAAGACAGUGCACUGGGCUUGUCCUGACGCUGAGACACGAAAGCGUGGGGAGCGAACGGGAUUAGAUACCCCGGUAGUCCACGCCCUAAACUAUGUCUACUAGGUUGUGGGAGUUCUGACACUGCCGUAACCGAAGCAAAAGUGUUAAGUAGACCGCCUGGGAAGUACGGUCGCAAGGCUAAAACUCAAAGGAAUUGACGGGG